RNAcentral lists this ribosomal RNA (859 nucleotides) under Halomonas sp. RNAcentral's name for it is "bacterial SSU rRNA". It matches the Rfam family "Bacterial small subunit ribosomal RNA", at positions 59 to 915 of the family's 1533-position model. Lineage: Bacteria; Pseudomonadati; Pseudomonadota; Gammaproteobacteria; Oceanospirillales; Halomonadaceae. The record is from RNAcentral.
CAGUCGAGCGGUAACAGAUCCAGCUUGCUGGAUGCUGACGAGCGGCGGACGGGUGAGUAAUGCAUAGGAAUCUGCCCGAUAGUGGGGGAUAACCUGGGGAAACCCAGGCUAAUACCGCAUACGUCCUACGGGAGAAAGGGGGCUCCGGCUCCCGCUAUGGGAUGAGCCUAUGUCGGAUUAGCUAGUUGGUGAGGUAACGGCUCACCAAGGCCACGAUCCGUAGCUGGUCUGAGAGGAUGAUCAGCCACAUCGGGACUGAGACACGGCCCGAACUCCUACGGGAGGCAGCAGUGGGGAAUAUUGGACAAUGGGGGCAACCCUGAUCCAGCCAUGCCGCGUGUGUGAAGAAGGCCCUCGGGUUGUAAAGCACUUUCAGCGAGGAAGAACGCCUAGCGGUUAAUACCCGCUAGGAAAGACAUCACUCGCAGAAGAAGCACCGGCUAACUCCGUGCCAGCAGCCGCGGUAAUACGGAGGGUGCAAGCGUUAAUCGGAAUUACUGGGCGUAAAGCGCGCGUAGGUGGCUUGAUAAGCCGGUUGUGAAAGCCCCGGGCUCAACCUGGGAACGGCAUCCGGAACUGUCAAGCUAGAGUGCAGGAGAGGAAGGUAGAAUUCCCGGUGUAGCGGUGAAAUGCGUAGAGAUCGGGAGGAAUACCAGUGGCGAAGGCGGCCUUCUGGACUGACACUGACACUGAGGUGCGAAAGCGUGGGUAGCAAACAGGAUUAGAUACCCUGGUAGUCCACGCCGUAAACGAUGUCGACCAGCCGUUGGGUGCCUAGCGCACUUUGUGGCGAAGUUAACGCGAUAAGUCGACCGCCUGGGGAGUACGGCCGCAAGGUUAAAACUCAAAUGAAUUGACG